AUGUGUCUGCAGACAAGAGGUUUGUCCUGUUUGCAUACAACAUUCAACCGGGUUCUGUUGGAGCUUAACCCUCCAGCGGGGGAGAAGGUAUUGAUACAGUACGCAGCCUGGGGACUGCAGGGGAACCAGCUGGCCUAUGUGUUUGAAGGAGAUAUCUACUACCAGACAGAAGUGACCAGUAAACCUCUCCGGCUCACAGCUACAGGCAGAGAGGGGCUGGUGGUCAACGGGCUGAGUGACUGGAUUUACGAGGAGGAAGUGCUCUUGACUUACCCUGCCAACUGGUGGUCGAAAGAUGGAGCUCGCUUGGCAUACCUCACCAUCAACAACUCUGCCACACCGCUAAUGGAGAUACCUCACUUCUUGGGUGGGGUCUAUCCCUCCAAUGUGUUCUUUCCUUACCCCAAGGCUGGCUCCACCAUCCCCACUGUCAGUCUGUUUGUGGUGAAUCUCUAUGGUCCAGCUCACACUCUAGAGAUGAUCCCUCCAGACUCUGUCAGGGGCAGAGACCGCUACAUCUCCAUGGUGACAUGGAUCAGCAGCACUCAGUUGGCGGUACGUUGGUUGAACCGGGCCCAGAACCAAUCAGAGCUCUGUGUGUGUGAGGCCACCACUGGGGCAUGCUCAAAGGUGAGAGGUCAAAGGUUACUCCACAGUAAUCCAAUGGGUGAGGUGCCAUUGUUUUCAUCUGAUGGCUCUUGGUUUUAUUUGACGUUGCCAGCCAAGCAAGGUGCCCGUGGGGAGUUCCGCCACAUUGCCAGUCUGCCAGCCCAGGUCAGUGUGAGGACACUCAAACUUUUAUACCCCUGUGUCAUCCUCCAAUGGUUUAAUGCCAGACUACUUGUUAAGUCUUCAAUAGGGUCAGGUGUGGACUUUGAAGGGAUCUUCCAACGCCAGUGUCUGACCUGCAACCUUCUAGAUGACUGUAGCUUUUUCAAAGCAGUGUUCAGCCCCAAUCAGACAUAUUUCACACUUUAUUGCCUAGGUAGGAGCUCUGUACACACGCACACAAACUUGUUUAACUUUUGCCCUUUGGACGGAGUUCCAGGCAGUCAGUCGGUGACGGAGGAGUUUACUAUGGGAUGGCCUGAGGUGCUCGCGAGCACACAUGACAUGGCGUUAGCCUGGGUGGAUGGAAGGAGUGGGGUCGGCCGGGGGCAGAAGAUCAGCAGUGUGGAUCCCCGCAAGCUCAGCUCCCUCAGAGUCAAAGAUCAACUAGGAGUCGUAGAGUGGUUGAUGCAAUUGCCUUACAUUGACGAUCAGCGGAUUGCCCUGUAUGGCAAGGCAUUUGGUGGUUAUUUAUCCCUCAAGAUGCUAGCUGCCACUGAUCAGCUGUUUAAAUGUGCAGCCGCUGUGGCUCCCAUAACAGAUUUCAAACUCUACAGUGCUGCCUUCUCAGAGAGGUAUCUAGGUCUCCCAGCAAAGGAGGAGCACACUUAUCUGACGGCAUCUGUAUUGGAAGAUGUUCACAAGCUUAAAGACGAGAAUUUCCUCUUACUGCAUGGGACUGCAGACGCACGGGUCCACUUCCAGCACAGUGCAGAGCUCCUGAGUCGCUUGGUGAAGGUGGAGGCCAACUACUCCCUGCAGCUGUACCCAGACGAGGGCCACAUCCUGAAGGAGCGGCGCAGCAUCCAGCAUUCCCAACGGACCUUGGUGCACUACCUCCAGACCUGCCUGAGACACAACCCCCUCCUGGCCUCCAUAGAGGAGCCAGAUGAGGAGGAUGACUGAGUACUCCCACCUCUGGUACUGGAGAAACACUGAGAAGUGACGACUACUCAAAGUCAGACUACUACUAAACACUAGUCUCUUCCCACAGCCACUGACUAGACACAAGAACACGGGAGUGUGGACCAAGAAUAUCAGAUCACAGCCUACUGUUAUCAGUUCACAGCAACUUUGGAAACAUACAAUUUCUUCCCAACAUUGUUUGUACUGUUUGAAUUGUGUUGUCCCUGAUUUGUUUACACUGUGUGGAUCAAUUAUCCAAGAAGUGACCAUGGCCAGGCCAAAUGUUGAUUCUUCUUCAAGUUUACAAAAUAGCCUGAACAUGCAUGUCGUAAUGGCUGCAUGAAGCGGAGUGGUUUACAAUGCCUUCUUCUAUGUUUCGUUAUCCUGCAUAUCUUAACUUUGCUUAAUUUAUUACAACUAAAAUCAGCCUGCUAUGCUGAUAUGUAAACACAUAUAUGGUAUGGACUUAGUGUCACUCUUAAUGUGCCAAAUACAUGGUAUGUUUACAAGUGUAUUCACCAUGUCAGUUCAGAGAUGUAUCCAGACUUGCAGAAGUUAUAAACUGUAUUUUCCAUGCCUCUUGCAUGAUUAUUUUCAACAGUUCCAUGUUGUAUUUGGUAACUUUGGAUGGAUAUAAUAAGAAUGAACAAACCCAACAAACUAUAAUAUGAAGCACAUUUGUUAGAAGUAUAUUUCAGUAGUUAUGUUUUUGUUUGUUUUCUUGAAUGAAUUUCCUUUGAUAGUCACGCAUACUUUGUUCAUGUGUACUGCAAUAGUUUAACACCUCACUGAAAAUUAUACAUCUCCCCCAGUAACGUGGACUCCCAAUCAAAGUUGUGGAACAUCUAUGGUGCACUGCAUGUAGUCUGUUUGCAAUUGAAUAGCCAACUUUACAUUUUUCCUUUUUUUUGUUUUACUAAAUCCUUUACGAUAAAGAAUCAAUUCCUUGUUUUACAGAAAUAUUGUUGUGUGUGUGUGUUCCAUCACUGGCUGCUUUGGAGAGGACAAGUGGAGCCUCGGCCAAAGUAUCAGCAUUGAAAUAGUGAAUGAAUAACUGUCUGUUGUGUCAAGUAUAAUUUCUUGAACCGGUCUCGUUGGUACCAGGUGUUUUUAACCUAGACCUCAACAGUCAGACUAAAUAUAUUUGGCAAGAAUUGGAUAAGUGCAAUAUGGCCAGUGGUGGAAAAAGUACCCAAUUCUCAUACUUGAGUAAAAGUAUAGAUACCUUAAUAGAAAGUUACUCAAGUGAAAGUCAAUCAAUCAAAUAAAGCCCUUUUUAUAUCAGCCGAUGUCA
Molecule: long non-coding RNA, 3028 nt
Organism: Salmo trutta (river trout)
Lineage: Eukaryota; Metazoa; Chordata; Actinopteri; Salmoniformes; Salmonidae
Source: Ensembl